This 502-nucleotide ribosomal RNA is filed under the name uncultured bacterium. Its description in RNAcentral is "partial 16S ribosomal RNA". It matches the Rfam family "Bacterial small subunit ribosomal RNA", at positions 30 to 523 of the family's 1533-position model. The record is from RNAcentral.
AUUGAACGCUGGCGGCAUGCCUUACACAUGCAAGUCGAACGGCAGCAUGGGUGCUUGCACCUGAUGGCGAGUGGCGAACGGGUGAGUAAUGCAUCGGAACGUACCUUUCAGUGGGGGAUAACGUAGCGAAAGUUACGCUAAUACCGCAUAUUCUGUGAGCAGGAAAGCAGGGGAUCUUCGGACCUUGCGCUGAUGGAGCGGCCGGUGGCAGAUUAGCUAGUUGGUGGGGUAAAGGCCUACCAAGGCGACGAUCUGUAGCGGGUCUGCGAGGCUGAGCCGCAACACUGGGACUGAGACCCGGCCCAGACUCCUACGGGAGGCAGCAGUGGGGAAUUUUGGACAAUGGGGGCAACCCUGAUCCAGCCAUGCCGCGUGAGUGAAGAAGGCCUUCGGGUUGUAAAGCUCUUUCGGACGGGAAGAAAUCGUGGUGGCUAAUAUCUGCCAUGGAUGACGGUACCGUAAUAAGAAGCACCGGCUAACUACGUGCCAGCCGCCGCAGUAA